UACGUAGGGUGCAAGCGUUGUCCGGAAUUAUUGGGCGUAAAGAGCUCGUAGGCGGUCUGUUGCGUCGGCUGUGAAAACCCGGGGCUCAACCCCGGACUUGCAGUGGGUACGGGCAGGCUAGAGUGUGGUAGGGGAGACUGGAAUUCCCGGUGUAGCGGUGAAAUGCGCAGAUAUCGGGAGGAACACCGGUGGCGAAGGCGGUUCUCUGGGCCUUACCUGACGCUGAGGAGCGAAAGCGUGGGGAGCGAACAGG
Molecule: ribosomal RNA, 253 nt
Filed under: uncultured bacterium
Lineage: Bacteria
Description: partial 16S ribosomal RNA
Rfam family: Bacterial small subunit ribosomal RNA
Source: RNAcentral